UACGAAGGGGGCUAGCGUUGUUCGGAAUCACUGGGCGUAAAGGGCGCGUAGGCGGCUUUAUAAGUCGGGGGUGAAAGCCUGUGGCUCAACCACAGAAUUGCCUUCGAUACUGUAGAGCUUGAGACCGGAAGAGGUUAGUGGAACUGCGAGUGUAGAGGUGAAAUUCGUAGAUAUUGGGAAGAACACCGGUGGCGAAGGCGGCUCACUGGCUCGUUUCUGACGCUCAGG
RNAcentral lists this ribosomal RNA (228 nucleotides) under uncultured prokaryote. RNAcentral describes it as "partial 16S ribosomal RNA". It matches the Rfam family "Bacterial small subunit ribosomal RNA", at positions 524 to 751 of the family's 1533-position model. The record is from RNAcentral.